AUACGGAGGAGGUUAGCGUUGUUCGGAAUUACUGGGCGUAAAGCGCACGUAGGCGGAUUGGAAAGUUGGGGGUGAAAUCCCAGGGCUCAACCCUGGAACUGCCUCCAAAACUAACAGUCUAGAGUUCGAGAGAGGUGAGUGGAAUUCCAAGUGUAGAGGUGAAAUUCGUAGAUAUUUGGAGGAACACCAGUGGCGAAGGAGGCUCACUGGCUCGAUACUGACGCUGAGGUGCGAAAGCGUGGGGAGCAAACAGGAUUAGAAACCCGAGUAGUCC
RNAcentral lists this ribosomal RNA (274 nucleotides) under uncultured bacterium. RNAcentral describes it as "partial 16S ribosomal RNA". It matches the Rfam family "Bacterial small subunit ribosomal RNA", at positions 523 to 796 of the family's 1533-position model. The record is from RNAcentral.